RNAcentral lists this long non-coding RNA (304 nucleotides) under Nicotiana benthamiana. RNAcentral describes it as "long non-coding RNA (NBEN_LNC026044)". Lineage: Eukaryota; Viridiplantae; Streptophyta; Magnoliopsida; Solanales; Solanaceae. The record is from RNAcentral.
CUUCAAAGUCAGUACCCUUGAUCCCUACAGAAUUGUGGACUGGGCACAAGCCUAGUCUGCGGCAUAUUCGAGUUUGGGGUUGUCCGGCACAUGUGCUAAAGGGGAAAACUUGACCCCUACAGAAUUGUGGACUGGGCGCAAGCCUAGUCUGCGGCAUAUUCGAGUUUGGGGUUGUCCAGCACGUGCUAAACGGAUAAAUUGGAGGAAAGAACGGAUAUAUGCGUGUUUAUAGGUUAUCCAAAAGGGACGAAAGGUGGGUUAUUCUAUUGUCCUAAAGAGAAAAAGGUAAUCGUUAGCAAAAAUG